RNAcentral lists this ribosomal RNA (253 nucleotides) under uncultured bacterium. RNAcentral describes it as "partial 16S ribosomal RNA". It matches the Rfam family "Bacterial small subunit ribosomal RNA", at positions 524 to 776 of the family's 1533-position model. The record is from RNAcentral.
UACGUAUGGUGCGAGCGUUACUCGGAAUUACUGGGCGUAAAGCGUGCGUAGGCGGUUCGUUAAGUUCGUUGUGAAAGCCCCGGGCUCAACCUGGGAAUGGCAAUGGAAACUGGCGGGCUGGAGUAUGGCAGAGGGGGGUGGAAUUCCGCGUGUAGCAGUGAAAUGCGUAGAGAUGCGGAGGAACACCGAUGGCGAAGGCAGCCCCCUGGGCCAAUACUGACGCUCAGGCACGAAAGCGUGGGGAGCAAACAGG